This 464-nucleotide ribosomal RNA is filed under the name uncultured bacterium. RNAcentral describes it as "partial 16S ribosomal RNA". It matches the Rfam family "Bacterial small subunit ribosomal RNA", at positions 339 to 795 of the family's 1533-position model. The record is from RNAcentral.
CUACGGGGUGCUCCAGUGGGGAAUAUUGCACAAUGGGCGCAAGCCUGAUGCAGCCAUGCCGCGUGUAUGAAGAAGGCCAUCGGGUUGUAAAGUACUUUCAGCGGGGAGGAAGGGAGUAAAGUUAAUACCUUUGCUCAUUGACGUUACCCGCAGAAGAAGCACCGGCUAACUCCGUGCCAGCAGCCGCGGUAAUACGGAGGGUGCAAGCGUUAAUCGGAAUUACUGGGCGUAAAGCGCACGCAGGCGGUUUGUUAAGUCAGAUGUGAAAUCCCCGGGCUCAACCUGGGAACUGCAUCUGAUACUGGCAAGCUAGGGUCUCGUAGAGGGGGGUAGAAUUCCAGGUGUAGCGGUGAAAUGCGUAGAGAUCUGGAGGAAUACCGGUGGCGAAGGCGGCCCCCUGGACGAAGACUGACGCUCAGGUGCGAAAGCGUGGGGAGCAAACAGGAUUAGAUACCCUUGUAGUC